CGGACCGGCGCACGGGUGAGUAACACGUAUGCAACCUGGCCGUCACAGGUGGAUAACCGGAAGAAAUUCCGACUAAUACAGCAUAACACUCCUGAGGGACAUCCUUCGGGAGUCAAAGGAGGCAACUCCGGUGACGGAUGGGCAUGCGGCGCAUUAGGUAGUUGGUAGGGUAACGCCUACCAAGCCGACGAUGCGUAGGGGUUCUGAGAGGAAGGUCCCCCACAUUGGAACUGAGACACGGUCCAAACUCCUACGGGAGGCAGCAG
This 266-nucleotide ribosomal RNA is filed under the name uncultured bacterium. Its description in RNAcentral is "partial 16S ribosomal RNA". It matches the Rfam family "Bacterial small subunit ribosomal RNA", at positions 91 to 354 of the family's 1533-position model. The record is from RNAcentral.